This 254-nucleotide ribosomal RNA is filed under the name uncultured bacterium. RNAcentral's name for it is "partial 16S ribosomal RNA". It matches the Rfam family "Bacterial small subunit ribosomal RNA", at positions 524 to 776 of the family's 1533-position model. The record is from RNAcentral.
GACGUAGGAUGCAAGCGUUGUCCGGAUUUAUUGGGCGUAAAGAGCUCGUAGGCGGUUUGGCAAGUCGGGUGUGAAAACUCCGGGCUCAACUCGGAGACGCCACUCGAUACUGCUAUGACUCGAGUCCGGUAGGGGAGUGCGGAAUUCCUGGUGUAGCGGUGAAAUGCGCAGAUAUCAGGAGGAACACCGGUGGCGAAGGCGGCACUCUGGGCCGGUACUGACGCUGAGGAGCGAAAGCGUGGGGAGCGAACAGG